CAUCCUCCUCUCUCUCUCCUUUAUCAUCAUCAUCAUCUUAAAUCUCUCUCUCUCUUUCCUCUCUCUAAUAAUUCCGGCUAUUUCUUUGUCAGAUUCCGGCCAACCCUUUCUUCCUCUUUAUAUAUACCUAACCCCCUCCCUCUGCUCUUUAGCUUUCUCUCACAUUUCCACCUCUCUCUCUCUCUCUCUCUCUCUCUCUUUAACUGCUCCAAUACCAUCAUCCACCCGCUCCCAUUACACACUAUUACUACUUUAUGAUCAAACCUGGCCCAUAAAACUCCUCAAUGAAUUGGGCAUAAGAAUCUAAUCCUAACCAAUCUGACCACAUUUUCCAAAACUAACCACAAUUCUUCAGACCCCAAAUAUAUUAUUACCCAUCAAUUGUUUCCCCUUCCAUUUCUGAUCACAUCACUUGAUUUCAGAAGUGCCCAAAAAUCUGUUUGUGUUUUUUCUCUGUGAUGAACCGAGCUUUACCCGAGAUGUUGAACUGUAUGAACGCGCCGGGGACUUUUAUCGCCGGAAACUGUACCGACAUGACGGUGCUGGAGAGGCAGAGGGCCCGGAUGAAGUGGCAGCAGAGCGACCAUCAUGAUCAACAACAGCAGCAGACUCAGUAUAAUUUUGGCGGGGGCGAGCUUAGUGGGGUUUUCUCCCUUCCAAUUCAUGCUCAGGGGCUUCAGGGUUUUCUGAGUGGUAACCGGGCUGUGAAACCCGACCCGAGUUCCGAAAACGGGUGGGCUGAAUUGGGUUUCGGGUCUUGUGGGUUGGUCAUGAAUAAUAAUGGCACUGCAGGGUUUGAAGGGAUGGGUAAUGCUCUCAAUAACAACAUCUCCAGGACUUUUAGCUGCCCGCCCACUGUAGUCGCCGAGAAGACGUCCGGCGACACCGUUUUGUCUCAAAAGCUUAGCUUGCCGGCCGGGAAAGAAAGCUUUAAGAAGAGGAAGGCUGAUAAGGUGCAGAUCAAUAAGGCUGCUGCUGCUGCAGAAAGUGAUAGCACAGAGAAAAGAAUGAAAAGUUGUGCAGAAAAAGGGGACUCCAAGAUCACAGAGCAAACCAGCACCAAGAACAACGACGGAGAAUCUUCUGGUGAUACUUCAAAGGAUAAUUCAAAAGCUUCUGAGGUUCAAAAGCCUGAUUACAUCCAUGUCCGUGCGCGGCGAGGUCAGGCCACGGAUAGCCACAGCUUGGCUGAGAGGGUGAGGAGGGAAAAGAUCAGUGAAAGAAUGAAAUAUCUGCAAGAUUUAGUACCAGGGUGCAACAAGAUCACUGGCAAGGCCGGCAUGCUUGAUGAAAUCAUCAAUUAUGUUCAGUCUCUUCAACGACAAGUAGAGUUCCUGUCUAUGAAACUAGCUGCUGUGAAUCCGAGGCUUGACUUCAACAUCGACGACUUGUUUGCAAAAGAGGAAAAAAUGUUCUUAAGAAAAUUAUGCUCUUUACUCUUUUGGCGAACUAAUGAAGACUCGUUUGUCCAAAGUUCCGUUACUUGUAGUCUCAUUUCGCUUCAAAUCAGCAGAUGUUUCCUACGUGCGCGGCCAAUUUUCCGACGAUGGGGAUGUCAUCAGAAAUGACCAAUUCUGUGUAUCUUCAGUUGAAUCCAAUGCAACAAUUGGUUUCAUCUUCUGGGUUGGAUAUGGGGUUAAAUUCCACUGAUUUGGCACUUCGAAGAACCAUAAGCGCUCCGAGUUCGAUCCCCGAACCAUUUCUUGACACAUCCUGUUUCACUCAAGCCCAACCUACGGCAAUUUGGGAUGUUGAUUUACAGAACAUUUUCAAUGUGGAAUUUCAACAAGGAAGAUCAUCCUUUCAAUCGCAACCAUUUAUAGGUUCCAUUGAAGAUAGCAAUUUAAAGAUGGAGAUGUGAAUGAAACGUCACUCAUUAGAUUCUUGGAAGAGUUUACUUUGAUGCAUCUGAUCCAGAUUAUUUUCUCUACUCUCUUAAGUACAUAACAUAUUUAUAUAUAUGUUUGUAUCUAUACCUGCAACAUAGUGUGAAUAAAAUAAAUUUCCCACAAAAA
Molecule: RNA transcript, 2015 nt
Organism: Malus domestica (apple)
Lineage: Eukaryota; Viridiplantae; Streptophyta; Magnoliopsida; Rosales; Rosaceae
Gene name: transcription factor bHLH63
Source: RefSeq, a predicted model, not a curated record